UUGUUCAGCAUCUUUUAAACAGGCCUUACCUCACAUGCAUGGUGUUCUUUUAGUAUCAGCACAUAUGCAGCCAUAACUGACUUAUCAGUCAAUUAUAAAGUUGAAAAAUAUAACAUAUUUUACAACAAGAACUUUUUUUGAAGAUUGUAAAGAAUAUUGUUCCACUAGCCAAAAAUACAGCAGAAGAUGUAAGAAAUGAAACUAUAAUAGUGCGUAUUAAUAUGUAAUUUUAUUCCAAGUUGUUUUUGUACACUAGAAUAAUAAUAAUAAUAAGAAUAAUAAUAAUAAUUGACAUCUCCUGUACUCACAGACCCACAGCUUGCAGGACAUGAGGCAGCAGGCAGCCGUCGCUGCCAAAGUCUUCGUUCAAAAAGAUUACACCAACGACACCGUGUGCCAGUUCCAGACCAAGUUCCCCUCUGAGCUGGAGUCCCGGGUGGCUCAUUAAGCACUGAAACAGAACAGACGUUCCCAGGCCUCCUCAACAACCAGGUGACCCACAGGUAAAGACAAAGCAGUGCGGACGGACCAUCUGCAGCCCAGCAACCACUACACCAACCAUCACUCAUUUUGAAUGAGUGAUGAAAUAAACCUGCUAGAAAGUUGCAGGUAUUUUACCGUAUAAAUCACGGCUGCUUUCUCUGUCGAGGAACACUAGCUGUUGCUGUUUGAGGCCAGACACUUCUGUGUUUGGGCAAUCUGUUGUGAUGCAGAGGGUAAGCUGAGCUGACCCACACAGUAGGAGGACCUGAGAGGGGACUGACCCCAUCGCUGCUGCUGCUUCCCACAGAGAUGUGAAGCCCUCCGUCGGGACCAGACAAACGAUGGUGGGCACGCCUAAGUGUGUGUGUGACCUUUGGGCUACAUGCGGAUGCUGAUACGGAACCUGCUUUUAGGAUGUGAGACUUCACCGGUCCGCUGGCAGUUUCUGGAGGAUCUGCAUAACGUCCAGGUUAGAUGAUGGCUGGUUGACAUUCGUCCCAUUGAGCAACGAUCCAAAGUUAGUGAGAGAAAAGCAACAAAGAAAUGCAUUAAGGUUAGAAUUCCAAUGUUAACCUAAAGAAAAAGUGUCAAUUCCUGCACACAAAUUAUUAGCUCUGCAGUUGAAUUAUUGAAGUAAUGAUGUUUUGGACACAAAGGCCUUUUUGAAGACAGACCCACCACAAAUGACUCAGUGAUGUACAGUCCUAAUCUAAGAAGUAUCCACCAUAGGCCGCCAUUAGAAAUGGCCCAUCAUCAGCCAUGUCCUGAGGGACACAAGAGCCUACCUGCUGUCUCUGAAAACCACAGCAGGUCAACCGCUUCAUUUAUCCCCAUUAAUGAAUAAGCUAUCAAAUGCAUUCAAAUCAUUAUUAGAGAAUUGGUGAUCUCAACAAGGUUAAUUAAGCAGCUGCUCCUAGAGAAUAAAUGUAAUUCCUUGAUUCAGGUGUAUGUACUGUAUGUAUUUCAGCAUUGCCCGCAAAUCGCAGUAUAAUAGGAUUUCUCUUAGUUUUUCUACACCAACCUGCUCUGAUAGUCUGUAUACUGACUGCAGUCGGCUUCAUUGUGAACAUCGACAAAAAAAUCUUAACAGGUACCUUCCAAGAUCACAAAUGUCUUGUCAUACAAGAUGCUAUGCUACACUCUUGACAUUUUAGCUUGCAGACCACAGAAGCUACUAUAUCCGAAAUAUGUCCUAAAUAUAGUGUACACUCGCAUAUUAAUUAUAUUUUAGGUGUCUAACAUAAAAUACAUUUUGAUUUCCCCCGUCUGCAGCAGUACACUUUUCUUACCUGCCGAUACUCCUGUCUGCUUCUCCAAAUUGGAGGCGUGAAGAUCUGGAUCAUCUGGAUCUCCUCCAUGUGUUGAAGAUGAGCAGCUGUGUCUCUAUCCAUUUGUCUCAGUGGAAAGAAGUUGUUCUCUCCCAUAAUGGUGCAUCUCUAUCCAAAGCUUGUUUGGUUAUGGCUAAAGACACAGAGUUUGUGAUGAAUGUUGAUGUCAUGGCACCAGAACACGGAACAUUCAACACGGAACAUUCAACACGGAACAUUCUAAAUAGAAUCUCACCUCAUGGAAUUGAUCCUCCUGUCAAUGUACACAACAACAAUACAGGCUUAUUAAAUCAUCAACAUGAAUGACAGUACUCUUGGAAACAUUAAUAACCAGAGUGCAGAACAACAACAGCAGUGUUCUGCAGAAUACAAGGCUGAUGCUUCACUCAACUUUUUCAGAAAUGUAUUUGUUAAUAUAGUAAUUAAUUUCUGAUUUUAGGAAUUAUUAAUGAUAUGCUCAUUGACAUUGAUUAAAAAAGUAUAAGCACCUUUCAUUGAUAUCCAUCCAAGAGCAGUGCUCGACUACCAAAUGGCCACACAGGGCAGACUUAUUCGGCCCUGUUGCCUGUUAAAAUAAGUUCAUCCGAAAUGUUUGUAAAACACACUAGAAUCAACCAGAAGAGACUAAUGCAGCCUGCAAUGAAUAUAGUUUUCAUUAGCCAAACUAUAAAUAUAUAUAAAGUAAAUAUAUAAAGUUCAAUUUAAAAGAAAAAGGCUCAAUAAUUACUUGUAGUUUUAUCAAACAAACUGGAGAAAGGGGGUUUGUUGAGUGGAAAACAGGCUUAAGAGACGACACAAAAUAUCGCCCUUAAAAUCUGAAAGUAGAAAGGUGCAGUCAGCUGAGAGCAGAUCUUCUCCAGGUGUGUCUGCAACAACCGCUGCUGGGUUGUGUGAUUGAAUGAACACAACCAGCUUCAUUUAAAGCCUUUAUUUAGGCUUUAAGUCAAUUUUCGUCAAUACUUGUGUUAAUGCGAGGUUGAUGUCCAAUAAAAAGGUAAAAGAGCAACCGUGUGUGUAGCGCCGUUAGCUGUUAGCCAAACACAACGUCCACAUAGAUAAAAGUGGGCGAACAGUUU
Molecule: long non-coding RNA, 2887 nt
Organism: Anarrhichthys ocellatus (wolf-eel)
Lineage: Eukaryota; Metazoa; Chordata; Actinopteri; Perciformes; Anarhichadidae
Exons: 3
Source: RefSeq, a predicted model, not a curated record